AAGACCUUGCGCUUUUGGAGCGGCCGAUGCCUGAUUAGCUUGUUGGUAAGGUAAAAGCUUACCAAGGCUUCGAUCAGUAGCUGGUCUGAGAGGACGACCAGCCACACUGGGACUGAGACACGGCCCAGACUCCUACGGGAGGCAGCAGUGGGGAAUUUUGGACAAUGGGCGCAAGCCUGAUCCAGCCAUGCCGCGUGAGUGAAGAAGGCCUUCGGGUUGUAAAGCUCUUUCAGCCGGGAAGAAAAGGCUGCGACGAAUAAUCGUAGCUCAUGACGGUACCGGAAGAAGAAGCACCGGCUAACUACGUGCCAGCAGCCGCGGUAAUACGUAGGGUGCGAGCGUUAAUCGGAAUUACUGGGCGUAAAGCGUGCGCAGGUGGUUUUGUAAGUCAGAUGUGAAAUCCCCGGGCUUAACCUGGGAACU
Molecule: ribosomal RNA, 423 nt
Filed under: uncultured bacterium
Lineage: Bacteria
Description: bacterial SSU rRNA
Rfam family: Bacterial small subunit ribosomal RNA
Source: RNAcentral